AAUGGGCGAAAGCCUGAUGCAGCGACGCCGCGUGCGGGAAGAAGGCCUUCGGGUUGUAAACCGCUUUCAACAGGGAAGAAGGAAUGAGGGCUAAUACCCCUCUGCCUUGACGGUACCUGUAGAAGAAGCUCCGGCUAAUUUCGUGCCAGCAGCCGCGGUAAUACGAAAGGAGCAAGCGUUGUUCGGAUUUACUGGGCGUAAAGCGAGCGUAGGUGGUUUGUUAAGUCGGGUGUGAAAUCCCAGGGCUCAACCCUGGAACUGCACUCGAUACUGGCAGGCUAGAGUUCGGGAGGGGGAAGCGGAAUUCCGUGUGUAGCAGUGAAAUGCGUAGAUAUACGGAGGAACACCUGAGGCGAAGGCGGCUUCCUGGACCGAUACUGACACUGAGGCUCGAAAGCGUGGGUAGCAAA
Molecule: ribosomal RNA, 410 nt
Filed under: uncultured bacterium
Lineage: Bacteria
Description: bacterial SSU rRNA
Rfam family: Bacterial small subunit ribosomal RNA
Source: RNAcentral